GGGUGAUCGGCCACACUGGGACUGAGACACGGCCCAGACUCCUACGGGAGGCAGCAGUAGGGAAUCUUCGGCAAUGGGGGCAACCCUGACCGAGCAACGCCGCGUGAGUGAAGAAGGUUUUCGGAUCGUAAAGCUCUGUUGUAAGUCAAGAACGGGUGUGAGAGUGGAAAGUUCACACUGUGACGGUAGCUUACCAGAAAGGGACGGCUAACUACGUGCCAGCAGCCGCGGUAAUACGUAGGUCCCGAGCGUUGUCCGGAUUUAUUGGGCGUAAAGCGAGCGCAGGCGGUUUGAUAAGUCUGAAGUUAAAGGCUGUGGCUCAACCAUAGUUCGCUUUGGAAACUGUCAAACUUGAGUGCAGAAGGGGAGAGUGGAAUUCCAUGUGUAGCGGUGAAAUGCGUAGAUAUAUGGAGGAACACCGGUGGCGAAAGCGGCUCUCUGGUCUGUAACUGACGCUGAGGCUCGAAAGCGUGGGGAGCGAACAGGAUUAGAUACCCUGGUAGUCCACGCCGUAAACGAUGAGUGCUAGGUGUUGGAUCCUUUCCGGGAUUCAGUGCCGCAGCUAACGCAUUAAGCACUCCGCCUGGGGAGUACGACCGCAAGGUUGAAACUCAAAGGAAUUGACGGGGGCCCGCACAAGCGGUGGAGCAUGUGGUUUAAUUCGAAGCAACGCGAAGAACCUUA
RNAcentral lists this ribosomal RNA (684 nucleotides) under Streptococcus thermophilus. RNAcentral describes it as "bacterial SSU rRNA". It matches the Rfam family "Bacterial small subunit ribosomal RNA", at positions 298 to 973 of the family's 1533-position model. Lineage: Bacteria; Bacillati; Bacillota; Bacilli; Lactobacillales; Streptococcaceae. The record is from RNAcentral.